This is a long non-coding RNA of Cebus imitator (Panamanian white-faced capuchin), 1508 nucleotides long. RefSeq lists it as uncharacterized. The transcript is spliced from 3 exons. The record is from RefSeq and is a predicted model, not a curated record. NCBI's taxonomy places the organism in Eukaryota, Metazoa, Chordata, Mammalia, Primates, Cebidae.
UAGUCCUUAGAGGUCAACACAAUCAGUUUCUUCUUUUUUGAAUUUUUUGGUAAUUCAUGCCAUGCUUCUAACUGUUGAUACUAUUUUGUUUGAUCAACCUCAGACAGUACCUAUUAACUCCCUCCUCUGAAAGGUUUUUAUAACUUUUGUUUACUUAACUCUCUUUCCUAAUUCUUCUAUUAUUUCUUUGAUUGUAUAAUAGUAUUCUGCUUUUUUAUCGAUGAUUUUUUUAUCUCCUGAGCCUUCCAAUAUUCUCAUUCAUGUCAUUUAACUUUUCUCUCAUUGUUUCUAUUCCUAUGAGUCUUUGUACUGCCCUCUGGGACAAUCUUCUGGCUCUGUCUUCCAAUUCAUUAAUUCAGUCUUUAGCCUCAUCUGCUAUUUCUAUUUAUACAGUUUAGUGGCUUUUAAAUUUUUGAUAAUCAUAAUUUAGAUUUCUCAAUUUUCUCAUUGACACUUUUUUCUAAUUACCUGUAGUGGGCACUGUGUGCAUACCCCCACACUCCAGGACCAAGGUGCUCCAGUUGUCCAAUCACACAACUGAUGGCUGAUGCCUGAAUACAGCUUCAGAGCUCUCCAUGAAGUUGUCUGAGGCCUCUGUUUAGACUACAUUGCAUCAUCUCAACUUCUUCCUCUGCUCAGCCCUGCUUACCUCAAGUAUGGAUCUCAAGCAUACUCCAAAGUCACCCUCCAGUAUGCUAACCUCAGUCUCAGAGUAUGUGUCCUGGACAACCUGACCUAAGACAUCAGUUGCUUUUGUUUUAUGGAUAUAAUACCCUCUCUCAUUGCUGUAAAGAUAUUAAUAUUUCUUUCUAAUUCUUUUUUAAAAUUUACUCUAUUAUCUCUACUUCCCUAGGUUAUAGUUACUCAGUUUAAGUUGGAUGUCACCUUGAUUGCAUGCUGAACUUUGCUAAUGUGAUUCUCUGUUCAUCUGCCAGCUGUUUAUAUUUUCUGUAGCUUGCAACUGGUGAUCCUGGAGGAGAAUAAAUGGGCUGCCAGGUGGAGAUGCUGGUAGUGUGUGGUAAUACCCUCCCUCCAAGAGAUGAGAGGAUACCUGGAGCCCCUCCUUUUCCCCUCAGGGAGAUGAGAGGAUACCUAGAGCCCCUCCUUUUCCCCUCAGGGAGAUGAGAGGAUACCUGGAGCCCCUCCUUUUCCCCUCUGGGAGAUGAGAGGAUACCUGGAGCCCCUCCUUUUCCCCUCCGGGAGAUGAGAGGAUACCUAGAGCCCCUCCUUUUCCCCUCCGGGAGAUGAGAGGGUACCUGGAGCCCCUCCUUUCAACCCAGUUGCUCACAUUCACUGCUCUAUGGGGAAGGAAGGACUCAACUCAUGUUUCCAGUCCUACUGUCUUCAUUGUUUUUGCUCCAGUUUCUCCUUAUAUAUGACUCAGGUAUUAUGAAUCAAACUGCUAUAAGUGCCCAUGUCAUUUGUAUGUGGAAAUACACUUUCAUUUAUCUUGGGUAAAUGUCCUUUUCAUUGAUUGUGGUGAUGAUUCUGUGGGUGUCUCAAUUUGU